AGUGAACGCUGGCGGUAGGCCUAACACAUGCAAGUCGAACGGCAGCACAGUAAGAGCUUGCUCUUACGGGUGGCGAGUGGCGGACGGGAGGCAUACAUCGGAAUCUACUUUUUCGUGGGGGAUAACGUAGGGAAACUUACGCUAAUACCGCAUACGACCUACGGGUGAAAGCAGGGGAUCUUCGGACCUUGCGCGAUUGACUGAGCCGAUGUCGGAUUAGCUAGUUGGCGGGGUAAAGGCCCACCAAGGCGACGAUCCGUAGCUGGUCUGAGAGGAUGAUCAGCCACACUGGAACUGAGACACGGUCCAGACUCCUACGGGAGGCAGCAGUGGGGAAUAUUGGACAAUGGGCGCAAGCCUGAUCCAGCCAUACCGCGUGGGUGAAGAAGGCCUUCGGGUUGUAAAGCCCUUUUGUUGGGAAAGAAAAGCAGCAGGUUAAUACCCCGCUGUUCUGACGGUACCCAAAGAAUAAGCACCGGCUAACUUCGUG
RNAcentral lists this ribosomal RNA (490 nucleotides) under uncultured bacterium. RNAcentral describes it as "partial 16S ribosomal RNA". It matches the Rfam family "Bacterial small subunit ribosomal RNA", at positions 29 to 507 of the family's 1533-position model. The record is from RNAcentral.